CAAUAAGCAUGUGAGGUGAAAUAUUACACACGUUGGCUAUUGUGCUAUAAAAUGGACGCGCCUACACAACUAUAGCCUACAAUACAUGCUGAGGGUGAGGGUAUGUUUGAGAACAGCUGAAAACACAAUUACGGCACCUUGCAUUCCGCAUACCUGUGAAGUGCUGCAGCGUCGUGCCUUGCACCCAAAGGCUCAGCACUUGCUGCACCGACAGAUUAACGGAAUAAUCCCGGUUCGUUGUCAUGUUCAUGCCGCUGCUGCCGCCGCCGCCGCCCGGGUUCGCACCCCUCUUUAUCGAAUAGCUGUACUUGGCUUUAGACGAAGGCAUGGAGGAGACCGGGGGGGCAUGGGAUGUGUGAGGCGGCUCUCCCCGGCGCAGCUCGCCUCUACCGGUGCCUCUGCUUCGACUUGACGUCCGUCUCCGCUCCGGCAGAUGGCCUUGACUGACUCAGGUUAGUCACCAGCAAAGCCCCCUCAUCUGGCUAACAUCCCUGUCACAGUGAGGACAUUCACUGGAACCAACCGGCUGUGUGAUGACUCAAGGUGGAGCCACAGACAGUCUCCGAGGUCAGACGGAGACGGAGGCUCCUGAACACACCGCUGCUUCCUUUCCUGCCGCUGACCAUUAUCAAUACAUCUCCUCAGACCCAGCUAUAAAACUCAUCCUAAUAUCGGCCUUUCAGUGAAGCCCUCUCUGACUUUUUGGUGUUUUCUCAAAUUCUGUGUAUUGUUUUAUUUGUAAUGAUUCUUAGGAUGAUUUUAUUGGUCAUCCUUGGUUGUAAGGGUCUUAUAAAUGUUUUACCAGAAGCCUCCUUUACUAAAAAGUGUAAGUCUAAGUUGUGGGCCAAAGAACGCUAUCACUGGUGAUUUAGAUUAAGUCUACCACACGUCAGAUUGCAAUGUGAGCUAAAACAUUUAAAUUACAUUUCACGAAAUAACCCAAACAUAUCCCAAAUUACAAAACAUUAAACCAAUUAGAUUAGCCUACACGACCAAAUAAUGUCAGGAUGGAUUCGCAGUCAUCUACACAAUUAAACUUUUUAUCUACAAACAAAAAAUACAUUAACCUUGACACUGAGAAACUGUGAUGGAUAUUUUUCGAGUACCUUCUGACACAAUUGAUUGGAGAAAUAAUCCCAAAUGUAUAAAAUCAUGAAUGACAGUCAUACAUUGAUGAUUAUUUUUGCUUGGAAGUAGCUAUAGACAUUUCCUAGCCCACAAUUUACACAUUAGGCUGUCUUGAAGACAGUUCAAAGGUUUAACGGUGCGACCUGAUUUUUCCUGAAAGUAGCCCUGAGCACUUUCACACAAACUUAGAAAUGGAUUUAAGAAUAGUUAGUGCGACCCAACAGGUCCAGUUCAUGUCAGUAUUUCAAGAGCUUUUUGUGUGGACCACAACAAAUAAAGAAAAAAGACAUGAGCCUUUUGAUAAUCUUUUUUCAUCUCCUGACCGUCCUCUAACAGAAAAUAUUUCCAUCAGUUACCCCACAGGGCUCGCUGCUGUUUCCACACACAUCUUGCUCCAUGUUGAAUCCCUGAUGACAAAAACCUAGACUCAGUAAAUCUUUAACUGACGGGUUGGCUAGCCUCUUGUUAAAUGAUGAACUGCUCACAUGUAAUGUCUCCUGGAGUAAGUGGCAGUCUGUAAGCACUGGACCAAAGGCUCCAUGAUGAGGUAAUGCUUGUCUGUACAGUUAUUGUCUGAAAGGAACCAAAAGACCUGUGCGUCCCGCUGAAGCUUUCACUAUGAUCAGACUGUCAUUAACAGCAACGACACUAUGAUCAUCUGUCACAGCUAGCUGUAUCACAGGAAAAGUUAGUUCAGGUGUCUGCCUUGCUUUAUUUAAGCAACACAGUGUAACUAGCAAUAGUUUAAUGUGUAUAAAUUAAAACUGUGAAUCAACAUUCACAUCAAUUAACAUAAAAUGUAUCGUCAUCCCAAUAGAUUAGUGCAUUGGUGACGCAUUUUGUAAACUGACCCAUAAAUUAGCAUCGCUAUGGGAUUCCUCUCCAAAAAGCAAUGGGAUUUCCCCAUUGGAUUUCGAAAUAUUGCAGAAAAUAAGCUUGGUGGCAAACACACAUUCAUGACAAUGCGAUUUUUGAAGCGUGAAUUUAAACAGAAGUAAAAGGCUAUGAAACAAACAACAUCACGGUCGCAUGGCUGCGCAUCACCACCGCUAAGCUAAAGGCGGUCUUGUGUCAGUCUCAUUAAGUCACUUGUUAGCAGCCACCGUUAUUAUGAAGCUCCGGACAUUGACCAGUUGGGUAAUUACAGACAUUAUUUCAUGUCGUAAUGAAAAUGUCUUCAGAUUGUGAUAACUAUAGACCUUAUUUCAGACUUCUAACCACAAACACGUUCAAUUCGAGAUGAGAGAACCGGAAGAGGUAAAAAAGUGAUACCGCGUUU
This is a long non-coding RNA of Gymnodraco acuticeps, 2407 nucleotides long. RefSeq lists it as uncharacterized. The transcript is spliced from 3 exons. NCBI's taxonomy places the organism in Eukaryota, Metazoa, Chordata, Actinopteri, Perciformes, Bathydraconidae. The record is from RefSeq and is a predicted model, not a curated record.